GACGAACGCUGGCGGCGUGCUUAACACAUGCAAGUCGAGCGGAAAGGCCACUUCGGUGGUACUCGAGCGGCGAACGGGUGAGUAACACGUGAGUAAUGUGCCCUGGACUCUGGGAUAAGCGUUGGAAACGACGUCUAAUACCGGAUACGCGACGCGAAGGCAUCUUCAGCGUCGGGAAAGAACUUCGGUCCAGGAUCAUC
RNAcentral lists this ribosomal RNA (200 nucleotides) under uncultured bacterium. Its description in RNAcentral is "partial 16S ribosomal RNA". It matches the Rfam family "Bacterial small subunit ribosomal RNA", at positions 28 to 230 of the family's 1533-position model. The record is from RNAcentral.